Molecule: long non-coding RNA, 9645 nt
Organism: Callithrix jacchus (white-tufted-ear marmoset)
Lineage: Eukaryota; Metazoa; Chordata; Mammalia; Primates; Cebidae
Source: RefSeq, a predicted model, not a curated record
UUUGGAGAUGAACCCCGGAAGGCGAGGUUAAGCUCCUCCCACCCUCCCCUACCUGGCCAAAGAAGAUCACUGUUGACGGGGUUUAGUUGUGGGCGGCUAGUGGUCCGUCUGCACGCGGCGUCUGGCCCGAGUAUAGAUUCGUAGGAGUCCCCGGCGCCCAGCACUGAGUGUCAUGCAUAAGAAUUGGUGUCACGAACAAGGGUUAGCCCCCGGCUCAUCCGCUAGGAAGGGCGUCCGGCGGAGGCGCCAGUUCCUCCCGAAGCCUUUCAUCGCUGUCGCCACCGGCCCCUGGCAGUGGCCGAACGUAAAGGCAGCCACUCGGGCUGCAAUGUCUCCUGGAGCUGGGGCCACGGCUCAGCGGUGAAACCCCAAGUCGGGGCGUGGGUUGAGCCCUCGUGCACUCAGAGACCAAUCAGACGAAAGGUGGCGUGGUGCGGUGGAAAGGGGUCCCAAGGAAAGUCCUCGGAUCCAGUUUCGAAUUACCGGCCUCCUCACUGAGCCCUGGAAGAAACAGCGGUGCCCGAGGGUGCAGAGAGGAAGGCUGAAACGUUGCCUGCUCCCUGCGUCUCAUCCUCUCUUUAUGCCUACCCUGGAGCUCAACUCCAGCAUUCAAGACUAUCGCUGACCGGAGUGCUUUUCAUGAUUUUGAGGCUUAUACCAGUAGAACUCACUUACUGGCCACUCUGCUGACCUUAGAAAGAAGUAAGGUCAUAUUUGAUGUCCUUUUCUUCGGCUGGAAACCUGAGCCAACCUUGCAAAAUACAAGGUCUUAACAAGGAUGGUGAUGCUGUGGGCGCUGGCAUUUCCAUGAUUAGGGAAACCAUCUCAGGAGCAGCCCUGUAGUGAGGAACUGAGCCUCAUGCCAGCAACCACAUGAAUGAGCCUUGUUGGAAAUGGAUUUUCUAGCCUCUUCAGAGACUGCAGCUCUAAUUGACAGCCUGACUAUUACCUCCUGAGAGACCCUGAGCCCAAAGCACCCAGAUUCCUGACCCUAGAAACUCUGUGAAAUAACAAAUAUUUAAGUUGCUAAAUUAUGAGAUAAUUUAUCAUGCUGCAGUAAAUUACUGACACAAUUAUCUAUUAAUCUUUGUAUAAUUUAAUACAUAAAGUAAAUCUGCCACUAACACAAGAACUAGAAUAUUGAUCAUAGCUUACUUCUAUCUAUGUGGCCUUUCUCCAUCCCUUUCUUCUUACUUCACCAAACUAAAGUGUUUUUGGGUUGUUGUUGUUUUGUUUUGUUUUUUUGAGACAGAGCCUUGCUCUGUCUCCCAGGCUGGAGUGCACUGGCACUAUCUCGGCUCACUGCAACUUCUGCCUCCUGAGUUCAAGCGAUUCUCUUGCUUCACCCUCUCGAGUAGCUGGGACCACAGGCACGUGCUGCCACAUCUGGCUAAUUUUUUGCAUUUUUAGUACAGACAGGUUUUCACCAUGUUAGCCAGGAUGGUCUCUAUCUUCUGACCUCGUGAUCUGCCUGCCUAUGCCUCCCAAUGUGCUGGGAUUACAGGCAUGAGCCACCACACCCGUAAAGUUAUCUUUAUCCUGAAUCUGAUAUUUGUCAUUCCCAUUACUUUGCAAAAAUAUAAUUUAAUAAUAUAUGUAUUCAUAAAAAUCUGUCAUUUAACAGCGGUUUGUUAGUUUUAACUUAAAGUUUCAUGCUAGAUAUAAAUUUUCUGUGGCCUUUUAAAUUUAUUCAACAUUGUUUUGCCAAGAUUCACCCAAAUCAAUGUACAUAGUGGCAGUUAAUUUGUUUUGACUGUUAUUUAGUAUCCACUGUCUGACUAUACCAUACUUUAUCCACUCUCCUGUCAGUGGACAUUGGGAUUGCUCUGGGGUGUUUUUCUAUAACAACAAUGCUGCCAUGAACAGGUUUACAAAUGCCUCCAGAUGCACAUGGCAAGGAUUUAUAUCUAGCACUGAAAUUGCUUGGUUGUAGGGUAUAUGAAUAAGCCAAAUAGCUUUCCAAAGUGGCUAUACCAAUUUACACUUCCACCAGCCAUUUAUGAGAGAUCUUCUCAUCACUUAAUAUUGUCAAAUUUCCUAAAAUGUCCACACAAAUGAGUAUAAAAUGGAAUCUCAUUAUAGUGUAGAUAUGCAUUUCUCUUAUCAUUAAGAAGAUACCUGAAUGCACUUUCCAUAUUGCAGAUUUAGCCCUCAAAGGUGGUGUGGGAAGAUAUAACUAUAACUCUUUAUUACAAUUGUUCUCUUUGGUUUAAUUUUUAGGUCUUCCUAAAGGGUCUCAGACCCUCACUCCUCAUAUUCACAAUAGUCCUUUUUUGCAAUUUCCUUUAAUGUUCUAUAUGUUUGACCUUAGAACAACUGUAGUUAAGGAAGAAAUGGACCAAGACCUGCUCUCCUUUUUUCUGGUUUCUCUCCCUACAGGGCAGCAGUGUGGAAUUGACUUGUGGAAUUGACUAGCACUCCUGCUAGUUAAUUUCACACUAGGAUUAGCUCAACAGGGGAAGUUGUUCCUUUUCUUUUACAAAAGCUUUUUGUGGGAACUAUUUUCUUUUAGAAACUUGGAAUGAAAAGAAAAAUCUGCUGAGAAGGUUUUUACUUGACGUCAUUAUUUUAUAAUAAUAAAAUAGCCAUCUAGGUUCUAGACCUCUGUCCUGAAUAGCUGUAUGAUCAGAGACUAGUUACUUAACUUCCUGAGUUUAAAAUUACUCAUUUUUAAAACAAAAGUUGAUAAUCUCUUGAGUCCUUUUAAGUACCAAAAUGUUUUUAUUACAUGAACAAGUUUCGCUAGUAAACUGACUGGUUCCUUAAGUUCAUUUCAUCUUCUCCACUUGCUUCCCACCAACCGGAUUGAUCUUAGCAUUAACACAGAUUAAAACUUGAGGCCCUAGGCUGGGUGUGGUGGCUUCUGCCAGUAAUUCCAGCACUUUGGGAGGCCAAGGCGGGAGGAUCAUUUGAAGCCAGGAGUUCAAGACCAGCCUGGACAACAAAGUGAGCUCUCAUCUCUACAAAAAACACACAUGCAUGUGUGUGCACACACACACAAAGGAAGAUUUCAGACAGGGCCAUGUCAUUCUUCUUUAAUUGUUAUGUUUGCCACUGCAUCUCCAGAACUCAAUGCUGUAUCUGCCAAAGAAUAGACACCGCAUAAAUAUUUGUUGUCAGUUGAAUGAAUAGUGAAUGAAUGAGCUAGGGCUUUAUGCUCCAUUCCCAUCUCCACUCCACCACCAUACUCAAAUUCAGAAGUUACUUGAGUUGUACUUUACUUAUGAUGAGACGAUCAGGAAGCACAGAGUAGAGAAUGUCUCCAACACUGUAAAUCUAGCUGGCUCUUUAUUACUGUUUAACUGUUUCUCACGAAUAGCAAAGUAACCACACCCAGCUGAUCUCUGGGCUUGAGGACCAGGUGUCAGUAUUUUUCAAAUACUCUCCAGGAGAUUCUAAUAUACAGCCAGUUUGAGAAUCACUAUUUCAGAAAAAAAUAAAUAAAUACUCUAUUUCUGUUACUUCUGACACAAUGUGUCAGAAAGAGAGAAAAAGAGAGAGAGAGACUCCUGUAUUAACCUCGGCAAUAUCACAGUAUGGAAGCAGUGAUAUCAACUGGCUAGGCUGCAAAUAAUUUGCAAAAGACCUUUUGAGAAAAUCAGGUGACUAGGGCAAUUUAUGUAAGGUCAUUGCCCAGAAGCUGACAUUCACAUAAAAGAGAUGUCAUUGUCAACUACUACAGUGUCAGAGCUGUUUCUCAAAAUUGUCCUGAUUUAAAUUAACCAGAAGAGCUUACUCUAAUGUUUUCUGUUUUUUGAAAUCAUGCCAUAAAUAAACAUCUGUAAUAAAUAUGUCUGAACAUUAUGGGGUGAGUAUGACUAUGUUGGGAGUAAUAGAUUUGAAGUGCAUGACAAAAUAAAAGGAAUAUGCUGAUAUCAAAGGGAGUAAGAGUUGCUAUAUUUUUCUAAGACUAAAAGAGACUGGGUCCCCGAAGUCUAAACAAAGAACAGCUCUUCAAAAGAUGCUCUUCCCAUGGAUAGUGACAGAGCUUAGUGACUAAGGGAUCAGACAUGGGAGCCAGAUGCCCUGUGUUUAAGUCCCAGGUUUGCUGGUAACCAACAGUACAAUGUUGGGCAAAUUAUGCAACUUCUCAGUACUCCCAUUUUCUUACGGGGAAGAACAGCACUACCUAUGUCAAUGGGUAAUUUUGAAGAGUAGUCUGAGCUCAUAAAGCACGAUCAUUGCCUGGGACAUAGUAAGUUUAUAACACAAACCCUUAUUAUUUUCCACUUUUCAAGGAAACAUUCUCCUAACUUCAAAUCAAUAAUAAUUUUUAAAAGCUAUAUUUUUACUUCUUAUACUUUUAGGAAUGUAGCUCAUUUUAAUUCUAGGACAAAUCAUAUAAAUUUCCCACAUAACAUAUGCAUGUAUAGUAUAUACAUAUAAAAGACAAUUGGUCAGGCGUGGUGAGUCACGCCUGUAAUCCCAGCUCUUUGGGAAGCCAAGGUGGGUGGCUCACCUGAGGUAAGGAGUUCGAGACCAGCCUGGCCAACAUGGCACAACCCUGCCUCUACUAAGAAUAUAAAAAUUAGCUGGGUCUGGUGGCAGGCACCUGUAAUCCCACCUACCUGGGAGGCGGAGGCAUGAGAAUCACUUGAACCCGAGAGGCAGAGGUUACAGUGAGCCUACAUUGCACCACUGCACUCUAGCCCGGGUGACAGAGUAAGACUCUCUCUAAAAUAUAAUAAUAAUUUUUUUAAAAAGUAGCAACGACAUAAUUGCACCUAAACAAUUACCAAAAUUCUUAGUAUUUGAAUUGUCUUAAAAAUAUCUUUUUUUUUUUUUACAAAAAUGGCUUGUGAUUUUUGAAAGUUAAUUGUGCAGGGUAGAAGAUUUGAGUGGCUGAAGUAUGUUAGUUCCCCAACAGUAAGAAUUCAGAGGAUAGGAUCCCCAUGGCAUCUAGAACAAUGCCUAACUUUAUCUUGAAACAAUGAGGGGAAUGUGGAAGGGCCUGUUUAAAUAGUGGUGCUGUCUCCCAGUGAGGUGCUGAAAGACCCUUUGUGUUGACGGCAGGGAUCUGGUUAGAGGACCUGAGUGCCUUAACCUAUCAGGCCAGGUAGGAAAGGAAAAGACAAAGAGAAGGGUUUCCACCCACCUCCACCUAAUCUUAUCUUUCUCUGUCUUCUACUACCAUCACUUUUUUUUUCUCUUUCCCACUUGUUUUUUCUUUUUCUUUUUUUUUUUUUUUGAGACGGUCUCGCUUUGUCACCCAGGCUAGAGUGCAGCGGUGCGAUCUUGGCUCACUGCAACCUCUGCCGCCUGGGUUCAAGCAAUUUUCUGCCUCAGCCUCCAGAGUAUCUGGGACUACAGGCGCCCACCACUAUGCCUGGCUGAUUUUUAUAUUUUUAGUAGAGAUGGGGUUCCACCAUCUUGGCCAGGCUGGUCUUGAACUCCUGACCUCGUGAUCCACCUGCCUCGGCCUCCCAAAGUGCUGGGAUUACAGGCGUGAGCCACUGCACCCAGCCCCACCUUCCUUUUUCAAAACCUUUUUUUUUUUUUUUUUCUUGAGACAGGGUCUCGUUCUGUCGCCCAGGUCGGAGUGCAGUGGUGCAAUCUCAGCUCAUGGCAACCUCUGCCGCCUGGGCUUAAGCCAUCCUCCCACCUCAGCCUCUGGAGUAGCUGCAACUACAGGCAUGCACCACCAUACCUGGCUAAUUUUGUAUUUUUUGCAGAGACAGGAUUUUGCCAUGUUGCCCAGGCUGGUCUUGAACUUGUGAUCUCGAACAAUUGGCUCAUCUUGGCCUCCCAAAGUGCUGGGAUCACAGGUGUGAGCCACUGCACCCAGCUUAAAAUGUUUUUUUAAAAAUUGUGACAUACAGCACAAACAGGAAAGCACGAAGGAUUAAUACACCGCUCUGUAAGUUUUAACAACAAAAAAAAAUGUUUGUUAAAUCACUACUUAGUUCAAGAAAUCAGCCAGGUGUGGUAGCUCAUGUCUGUAAUCCCAGCACUUUGGAAGGUCAAGGUGGGAAAAAUAUCUUUCUAUAGUUGAUUUACUUAAAUCAAGAUCCAAACCCUAGUUUAUAUUUUGGAAGCUAUUUAAGCUUUAUACUUAUUCUAAAGGAAAACGAAUGACUAUAGCUACAACUUGAAAUUGAAAUCAUAAUACGAGAGAAAGCUAGAAUGAGAAAUGAGACUCUCACAAUAAGUUUGGGUUUUAUCUGUGACACUGACCUAGGGUUCUAUUAUGUGUUAGACUCUUUUGCUAUUGCAAUAAGAAGAAAAAUAAUUUUUCUGAAGUACUCUGGUGUAAGAAGCAUAGAGAGUUUGAAAAUAGCCUGUCUGUGGGCAUCAUAAUCCCCUGAAGUUGCAUGAUCUGGUCAAUUUCUCAGUCUUUGCAAGUUUUCUGAGUGUAGCUCCUACUUUUCUAUUCCAUAGUCUCUCUUUUCUUCCUUACAAAUAUUUGCAAAGGACUUGUUUGUAACAUUUGUACCUGGUUCUCCUAUUUUACCAUCAUGCUUCAGUUUUUUUCUUCUUCUUUCUCUUCAGGAUUCCUUGUAUACUUCUUAAGACUUGAACCUAAUGUUUUUAUUGGACUUCAUUGUUUUUGAGGUUGCUUUAAUAUGACUGCCAUUCAGCCCUCAAGUGUUCUUACAAAAAGACACUUUACUAAUUACUUUAUAGGUUACCAAUAAUUAUCAGAAUAUACGAGGUUUCUUUCAGUGUAGGUAGGUAGAAAAUAAGUAGCAAAGGUAGUAUUUAAAUAGAUAAAAUGUUAAUAUGUUUAUAUUGGGGGGAUACUAAAAAUAAAUAAACCCACAUCCUCUGUGAAGUCCUACAACAUACCCUCUUACAGCUAUGAAAGCUAAUGAGAAAGUCAUCUUUAUUGAUUAGGAUCUCAAAAUAGAGUCUUUUAUCUUGCCUACUUCUUUUCCUCAGGUUCCAUUUAUCAUAAAAUUACCAGUGCUGUUCUUCUCUAUGUAAUACCUUCUACAGUCUUGUUUAUUAAAAUGGUGUAGAGUGAUAGUUAAGAUCCUAGCUUCUGCAAUCAGCUUAGAUUCAAAUCCCAGCUUCAUGACUUCCUAGCUGUGUUUUGGGGAAAAUCAUUUAGUCUUUUCUGUGACUUGGUUUCUUCAUCUCUAAAAUGGGUAUAAUAUACCUACAUACCUACCUUAUUAUAUAUUUGAUUCUAGUUGGGCAAAUAUUCCCUCCUACCUCUCUCAGGGUAGAGUAUUUUUUCCUCCCUGUCAAUGUUAGUCUUGGUCAUGGGAUGUGGGUAGAGGUGACAGUGUGUCAGUUCCAACCCAGGCAUCAUGUGUUUCCAUUUGUACUCUUACACUCCUACUGCCACCAUGAGAAGAAUACACUCCAGGUUUGUCCUGAAUGAUAAGAGACAUAUGGAGCAAAUCUGCUCCAACACACACCCUGGAGCCAAGCCUACCUUGCUCACAGUUGGAAGGAGAGGUAUGCGGCAGAGCUCAGCCUGGUUCGCCCAAAUAAUAGUUGCCUUGCAGACUGAUGAAAAAAAUAAUUACUGUUGCUCUAAGUUACUGGGUUUUUGGGUGGCUUGUUACAAAGUGUUAUUGCAGCAAGAGCUAACAUAUAAAAUUAUUGCAAGGAUCAAAUGAGAUAAUUUAUGUAAAUAAUUUAGCAUAGUGCUAAUCAUACAGUCAUGUUCAAUUUGGGUUGCUAUUAUUAUAAUAUCAUUAUUAUUUUUUAUUUUUCUGAGUAAAAAAAUCUAAGUUAUAUGUUGUGGUUAAUUAAUAACACAGUGUUAGAUCCUCUACAGUGAGCAAGAGUCUGAGUUGGCUUCCACAUAGCUCUUGGUAUUGACCAUAGAUGGAACUGAAUCUGGCAGAUGUGGACAUCUCUCUAUCUCUCCCUGCGGCUCAUGUGGUUCCACCCCUUUCAUCCUUCACCAUAUUCAAUAUCUUAUCUAGAUUGUGGGGUGAUUCUGAAAAAUUGUCUCACAAGUAUGCAUCCGAAUACUUUGUCUUAGGUUUAUGCCAGUGGCUAUUAAACUUCAUGUUUGCUACCUUAAUUCUCUAAUUUCUCCAAAUAGAAAAUUCACAUGUAGCUCUACAGGUUAUGAAGGGUGAAAGAAAGAGGAGAAAGUCCUUUGAGAGAUAAAUCAAUAAAUUAUAGGAGAUAAUAGUGUAACUGGGUUUUUUCUUGAGUGCUGGUGGGGCACAGCUCCCGCGAGAGAAUGCUGUGGGUUUUUGUUCUCCAGUCUUUUAAAGAAUAAGAGAUGGGACCACUGCAGGUGCACCAUAUGCUCGAAAAAGUAAAUAUUGGACCCAAAAAGUGUUGUAGAAAGGUGAUUUUAUUUAGGUAGAGGAAAGAGAAGGAAAGGAGAAGAAGAGAAAGACUCCAUGAAGAGUGUGGAAGGGGAUUCCAGAAAGCUGGAAAUCCGGUAUGGGUAAAGGAGCAGGGGAAUUUAUCCUGGGGGAAAUUCCCACCUUCCCAAGUUCCUCUAGCCAAUGAAAGGAGUUCCUUAGACCUUCUGCUAGAGUAAUUGACUUUUAGUUUCUUCCCACGCCCGCAAAAUUGAAACACAAACUGUUAAAUCUCCCAGAGAGAGAUGGUAGCGGGGCAUGGCGCCUGGAAAUUCUUGCCCUUAAAACUACACCCCCUGGUGGACCCCGAAAGAGAACACAUUUCCUCAUUUAGGAGGGCAGAGACAAAUGAGAGGUAAUGAGAAGUCACAACUAAACUUUUUCUUAAGUUUAAAGUUAGUUUGCUACCUAUAUUUUAGUUUCUUUACAGUUAAUACCUGAGGUUCCAUUCAAUGUGCUGAAAAGGAAAUGUGUUUAUCAAAAAGACUCUUACUAAAAAUAUGAACUCCACAUCAUCAUGUUUAUAAAUAUCAAGUCAACAAGUAUUUUUGGGGGUACCUGCUAAGUAUCUUGUAGUGAGAUAUGAUAACAUAAUACAUACUAUAUUUUGCUGAUUCUGAGACACACAUUUGUUCAUAUUUUAACAUCUUUGAAAUCACCACCGUAGCUGGGACUAUGGGCAUGCACCACCAUGCCCAGCGGAAGCAUAAUUGUUAAUUGUUAUUUUUGCAAAGUGAGAUGGUUAUUGUGCAAUGGGCUCUAUUAUCCAAAAUAUUCAUAUAUUCACCUCCUGCUCAUGUUCAAUCAGAUACCAAUUUCUAUGGGUUCUGUCUAUAAGGUGACUCUCAGAGAACGAAUUCCUCCCAACCACUACUUCACAGGACUAAGCAAUCGUAUAUUACAUCUUGGACUAUUGCAAACCCCUCUUAUGUAAUUACUUAUCUCUAGUCUCCCUUGCUGCCUUUUAUCUGCGGUCAGGGUGAUCAUCCUAUCUCACAUUUAUGAUCAUAUCACUCCUAUAUUUAAAGAGACACAGUGGGGCUCACACCUGUAAACCCAGCACUUCGGGGGGCUGAGGCAGGUGGAUCGCUUGAGCCCUGGAGUUCAAGACCAGCUUUGAAAACAUGGCAAAACUCUAUCUCUACUACUUGGAAGACUGAGGUGGGAGGAUUACUUGAGCCUGGGAGGUAGAGGUUGCUAUAGGCCAUGAUUAUGCCACUGCACUCCAGUGUAGGCAAUAGAAGACCCUGAAGAGAGAGAGAGAGAGAGAGAGAGAGAGAGAGAGAGAGAGAGAGAGAGAGAGAGAGAGAGAGAGGAGAGAGAGAGAGAGAGAGAGAGAGAGAGAGAGAGAGAGAGAGAGAGAGAGAGA